GGUAGGAAAAAAAAAGACAAAAAUGGUAUUCUCAGGUGAGCUUACCUUUCAAAUUUUUCUGAGACUUCCUAAAUGUGACAAGAACUCUGCUGUGUGGCAACCUUAUGUAUCCACAACAGAACUAAGGACCGAAAAAAAAAAAAAAAAGAUCUCUAUCCCAAUAGAUUUUAUAAAAUCCAUACUCUAAAACUCCUGAGUUUUACAUGUACCCUAAAACUUAAAGUAUAGUAAAAAAAAGAAAAGAAAGAAAAACUCUUUAACCCUUUGUUUAAAUCCUAUUAACUCUUAACGAUACACAGUUCGAAUUAUCUAAAUGAAAUAAUUUUCAAGCACAUAACAGAUUAGAAACAGAGAAUGAGAAAGGUAUAGUAGAUAUUAUGUAAAUAAGCAGAAAUAAUGGCAAUAAUUAAACACACUAUCUCUACCUAAAAGAACAGAGAUAGAAAACUCAUAUAAAAAUCUAAACUACAGUUUUAUGGGGAUAGUUAAGGUAAGAGCCUGCAGGCAGCACUGUAUUGCUUUACAAAACAGCAUUUCAUUUGUAUUAUGAUGAUUUCAGACUAUCAAUUUAAAAAUUCAUUAGUAUAAAUUAAGAACAGGUACCAUUUUCUCCAGAUACUUCCCCUUCAUCUGUCCUGAAAUUAUUAAUUAUUGACUUCUACUUAAAUAAGAUCUUAUUUUCAUCUGCUGGAAAACUUUUUCUGAUAACCAUACAUAUCUUCAAUGUCUACAAUUUGAAUGGAGAGCCCUUUCAAUGUGGCGUUUCUGUUUCUUCCAUAACCUCACAACGAUAUGUGGUGGCCCCGCAGUCAUUAUGGUCUUGUUAAAUAAUUAGAUUUGUGUAAACUAUAUUUUAGAGUCUUCCAAAACGCCUCUCCUUCCAAAAUGGCUAAAAGGGCAAAGCGUCAGUAAUUCUGUAGACAUGCUUCAUGCAUGUUCUGAAUAGGAGCUAUGGUAUAAUGAGAUGCUAUCUCUGGAAAAAAAUGAAUAGAUUUUCAAGAUUGUGAGUCCUGACAUGAGUUCUCUAGAAUUUUCCCCUUUGAUAAAUUUUCCUUUACCUAGCUGUUGCCAAAUUGUCUCUUCUAGAAGAAUGCCCAGAUUUUUUUUCAGUUCCAAAGUUAUCAAAAUCCCAGGAAUAUUUCACAGAAAAGAGAAGCAUUUAUAGCAAGCAUGGGUGUGGCAUGCUUUCUCUGUGGGAAGUUGUCAUCCUCCACAAGAUCUUGCCCACACUCAAAACAAACUUGCUUCCCAUCACAUUCUUGGUUUGUCAGCACUCUGUAAAAGGAAAUCUCAUCUCCUGUCUGUUGAUAGUAGAGCUUAUAUCAAACUGGGACAUGUUUCUUCUUCAUUCAUGAAUAAGUCUAAUUUUCUCUCCGGUGUGUAAAACUGACAAUACCCACAAGAUACUACUGACUUGGAAGUUUCACUGCAGGUAGCUACCAUACCAGCAUUUGGUAAACUAGCUCCCUAGGUGAGACAGCAUUAGAUGACCUCCUUCGUGCCACACUACUUGCCAGUAUCCACUGGGAGACAAAUUAUGAUUGUUGCGUCCUUCUUUGAAAACACCCCUGCUGAGUACCUACUGUAUGUGAGUCACUGUGCAGGCACUAGAAAUAUAAAGCAAAAAAAACAGAUUCUACCCACCGGGAGCUCCUAGUCCAGUGGUGAAGAGGUGUAUUAACCCUCAAGGCCCUAAGAAAAUCCCCAAUAGGGCUCUGCACAAGCCGGGCUCUGAUAGGAGGUGCCAGUGCUUUUCUUCUUCCAGUUUCAGAGCCCCAGCGAUCCCAGGAUGAAGGAGAGCCCAUUUGCAACCCUCUUCUGUCUCCCUAAGCAUUCAACAAACACUUAGUGACCAUCUGUCUUGUGCAAAAAGCUUGGGGAGUGAUAAAAACAAAUCAAAUUCACAUUUUAAUUUAGGGAGUUUAGGAGAUACAUCCUAGUGUGGAUUUCACAUGGUCAAUGAUUUGCUUUCCUUGAAUUUGCCCUCUGCAACCAACACCUGUUCGUGCUAUGAGACUGAAGUCCUCCUAGACCGCCCCAUUCAUCUGAGUAGUUAGGGCUCUGGAUGAAGGAGCAAAUGGACAAAAUAAGCCCCCUCUUGCUCAGGACCUGACUAACAUUUCAGAACUGCGGUCACCCAUUUUAUACAAACCAAAGCACUUCUGACAGACCUCUGAAUUUGCAUUAAAAAGAGCACGUCUACAGCUCCUAACAAUCAAAAACAACUAUGAACACUGCUUGCUUCAGUGAUACAAACAGACAUUUUCUUGUUACAUGUGUGGUGAUCUGAGAAUGGUGACUUUGGACCCAGUUUGACUGGUUAGCGUUUAAAUAAAACUUAACAGACUAGGCAACUAAAGGAACUCAGUAAAAGAUCAAAAGCAAUGCUCAAAGGGAGUGCCUGGGUAACCAUGAUGUAAUUGCAGAUUGACACAUCUUUGGGUUUUUCAUUAUUGUUUCUAAAAACUAGAUAUUAUUGCUUUAUUAUUAUGUUGAUGAUGAUUAUUGAAAGCACGAUAGCAAUGUUUAAGUGGUGAGAAUGACUCUAAGCCUCUUUUUGUUGCUGUGACUGACAGAACUAAAGGGAGUUUGCUCUCACAUUCACAAUACCAACUCUGCCAUCUUAUGGAAAAUAUUGGAAGUACCUAGGGCAUUUCAUUAUAUUUCAAAGGCACAGGUUGCUGGUAAGAGGGACAGAAAGACAAGAACAUAGUACCUUCUAUUUCUACUACAUGUUUUUAAUCUUUAACAUUUUUACCAGCAGAAAUCAUUUUUUUUUUAAAUCUCUCAAUCUUCAAAUAAUUCUUAGAUUGCUUGCCAGCAAAGAUGUCUCUUGAUCUUGACACUGGAAUUCAAUGUAAAAAUCUUGAAUGAUAUUUUGUACUGAUAUGAAUUUCUACUGUCCCAUAACACUGUGUAGUGACUUCACUGUAUAUUAACUUCUUUUCUACAGAUGUUUGACUUAUGAGAUGAAUUAAUUGAAAAAGUCAAAGCCUAUCAGGAGCUAUCUUAUAUGAUGUUGGUAGCCUGUGAAAAAAUAAAUGUCUUUUUUCUUAUACAAACUGAUAACAAGACUUGCUUUCACAAUUACUAUUUACAUUUUUGUGCAUAUAAUGCCUGUAUAUUAUACUCAUAUUUGAAAGUGAUCAGAAAGUGUUAUUUAACAGAAACUACAUACAUUUUUUAUGUCUCUCUGGACCCUUUGAUUCUAAGUAAAUUUACAGUAAGUUAGCAGUAAUAGACUAUUCUUUUCAACUAUGAAUAAAAAUGUACACUGAAGUA
Molecule: long non-coding RNA, 3282 nt
Filed under: Homo sapiens (human)
Lineage: Eukaryota; Metazoa; Chordata; Mammalia; Primates; Hominidae
Description: non-protein coding NKAIN3-IT1:9
Source: RNAcentral